Molecule: ribosomal RNA, 491 nt
Filed under: uncultured bacterium
Lineage: Bacteria
Description: partial 16S ribosomal RNA
Rfam family: Bacterial small subunit ribosomal RNA
Source: RNAcentral
AUUGAACGCUGGCGGCAUGCUUUACACAUGCAAGUCGAACGGUAACAGGCCUUCGGGUGCUGACGAGUGGCGAACGGGUGAGUAAUGCAUCGGAACGUACCCAGAGGUGGGGGAUAACGCAGCGAAAGCUGUGCUAAUACCGCAUGUGAUCUGAGGAUGAAAGCGGGGGACCGAGCAGCAAUGUUUGGCCUCGCGCCUUUGGAGCGGCCGAUGUCGGAUUAGCUAGUUGGUGGGGUAAAGGCCUACCAAGGCGACGAUCCGUAGCUGGUCUGAGAGGACGACCAGCGAAAGGGGAGCUAAAAAGCGGCCAAGACUCGUAGGGGAGGCAGCGGUGGGGAAUUUUGGGCAAGGGCGCAAGCCUGAUCCAGCAAUGCCGCGUGCGGGAAGAAGGCCUUCGGGUUGUAAACCGCUUUUGGCAGGAACGAAACGGUGUCCGCUAAUACCGGGCGCUAAUGACGGUACCUGCAGAAUAAGCACCGGCUAACUACGUG